Non-coding RNA from Carollia perspicillata (Seba's short-tailed bat), 191 nucleotides. The record is from Rfam. NCBI's taxonomy places the organism in Eukaryota, Metazoa, Chordata, Mammalia, Chiroptera, Phyllostomidae.
GCCCUGCAAGUGUCUUCUAGGGUCGCAAGUACAGAAAGUAAUUAUAAUAGGAUCUUAAUAAACUUGCAGUCCACCAACCGAGUCAUUAGAAAACAAUCACAAAGAAAACUGACACCAACAGUAACUCCAGAGCCGCAAAGUAUAUUUUGCAAGAAGGGUAACAGCCUUUCUUGAAGUCUGGAAAUAGUGGG